CCUACGGGAGGCAGCAGUGAGGAAUAUUGGUCAAUGGGCGGAAGCCUGAACCAGCCAAGUCGCGUGAGGGACUAAGGCCCUACGGGUCGUAAACCUCUUUUGCCGGGGAUCAGUGCCCAGCUCGCGAGCUGGGAGGGAGCGUACCCGGAGAAAAAGCCCCGGCUAACUACGUGCCAGCAGCCGCGGUAAUACGUAGGGGGCAAGCGUUAUCCGGAUUUACUGGGUGUAAAGGGAGCGUAGACGGCAGCAUAAGUCUGGAGUGAAAUGCCGGGGCUUAACCCCGGAACUGCUUUGGAAACUGUGCAGCUAGAGUGCAGGAGAGGUAAGUGGAAUGCCUAGUGUAGCGGUGAAAUGCGUAGAUAGUAGGAGGAACACCAGUGGCGAAGGCGGCUUACUGGACUGUAACUGACGUUGAGGCUCGAAAGCGUGUGGAGCAAACAGGAUUAGAUACCCGAGUAGUC
RNAcentral lists this ribosomal RNA (461 nucleotides) under uncultured bacterium. Its description in RNAcentral is "partial 16S ribosomal RNA". It matches the Rfam family "Bacterial small subunit ribosomal RNA", at positions 338 to 795 of the family's 1533-position model. The record is from RNAcentral.